Styela clava is the source of this 521-nucleotide non-coding RNA. The record is from RefSeq and is a predicted model, not a curated record. NCBI's taxonomy places the organism in Eukaryota, Metazoa, Chordata, Ascidiacea, Stolidobranchia, Styelidae.
AUUUAUGUUCCAAUCUUGUUUUAUCAUGUCCGAUGCCUUCCGUCCAAUCAUGUAACACGGAGCUUGGGUGUUAGAUGACGUCACAUGGGGCAUGACUGAUGCAUCGGCGACUCUUAGACCCUCAACAUGCCGGACCCUUCACAACAAAAUAAAGAGAUUAGCCAAUGUUACGGUCAAUGAUCAAGAGGAAACAUUCAUUGGUUCUGGACUGCGUACAUGAGAAUAACGAUGGCGCUUGGAACGGUUAGUUGGACACGAAAUACACAUAUGGACUGUUUCGUUAAUACGAUGAUUUGGAUCAAUAUUAGGCUGAUCAGAAGGAUUCGUCGACUUCAAUCGAAUUUCACCUCUUGAUUUGGGAUGCUGAACUGCUAGUAUUGAAUAGAGCAACAAUGCAAUGCUCAUAACAUAUGCUCACGUCAUCCCAGUUUUGUCUGAGAGUCCUCUUGCAACCACAGCUCCAGAUGCACCUGCCCCAACUACAAAAAAAGUGAAGAAAGUUCAGGGAUUUCAAAGGGGGA